AAAAAGCCGGGAGGAAAGAACACGAGAGAACACAGGGAUUGCCCCAGUAACGGCGAGUGAAGCGGCAACAGCUCAAAUUUGAAAUCUGGCUCUCGGGCCCGAGUUGUAAUUUGUAGAGGAUGCUUUUGGUGAGGUGCCUUCCGAGUUCCCUGGAACGGGACGCCAUAGAGGGUGAGAGCCCCGUCUGGUUGGACGCCGAACCUCUGUAAAGCUCCUUCGACGAGUCGAGUAGUUUGGGAAUGCUGCUCUAAAUGGGAGGUAUAUGUCUUCUAAAGCUAAAUACCGGCCAGAGACCGAUAGCGCACAAGUAGAGUGAUCGAAAGAUGAAAAGAACUUUGAAAAGAGAGUUAAACAGUACGUGAAAUUGUUGAAAGGGAAGCGCUUGUGACCAGACUUGGGCUUGGUUGAUCAUCCGGGGUUCUCCCCGGUGCACUCUUCCGGCUCAGGCCAGCAUCAGUUCGCCCUGGGGGAUAAAGGCAUCGGGAACGUGGCUCUCUCCGGGGAGUGUUAUAGCCCGUUGCGUAAUACCCUGUGGCGGACUGAGGUUCGCGCAUUCGCAAGGAUGCUGGCGUAAUGGUCAUCAGUGACCCGUCUUGAAACACGGACCAAGGAGUCGUCUUCGUAUGCGAGUGUUCGGGUGUCAAACCCCUACGCGAAAUGAAAGUGAACGCAGGUGAGAGCUUCGGCGCAUCAUCGACCGAUCCUGAUGUUAUCGGAUGGAUUUGAGUAAGAGCAUACGGGGCCGGACCCGAAAGAAGGUGAACUAUGCCUGUGUAGGGUGAAGCCAGAGGAAACUCUGGUGGAGGCUCGCAGCGGUUCUGACGUGCAAAUCGAUCGUCAAACAUGGGCAUGGGGGCGAAAGACUAAUCGAACCUUCUAGUAGCUGGUUUCCGCCGAAGUU
Molecule: ribosomal RNA, 901 nt
Filed under: Dactylonectria estremocensis
Lineage: Eukaryota; Fungi; Ascomycota; Sordariomycetes; Hypocreales; Nectriaceae
Description: partial large subunit ribosomal RNA
Rfam family: Eukaryotic large subunit ribosomal RNA
Source: RNAcentral